UACGGAGGUGGCAAGCGUUGUUCGGAAUUACUGGGCGUAAAGGGCGCGUAGGCGGGGAGGUAAGUCGGGUGUGAAAUCCCUCGGCUCAACCGAGGAACUGCGCUCGAGACUGCUUCUCUUGAGUCCCGGAGAGGAAGGUGGAAUUCCCGGUGUAGCGGUGAAAUGUGUAGAGAUCGGGAGGAACACCGGUGGCGAAGGCGGCCUUCUGGACGGUGACUGACGCUGAGGCGCGAAAGCGUGGGGAGCAAACGGG
This 253-nucleotide ribosomal RNA is filed under the name uncultured bacterium. Its description in RNAcentral is "partial 16S ribosomal RNA". It matches the Rfam family "Bacterial small subunit ribosomal RNA", at positions 524 to 776 of the family's 1533-position model. The record is from RNAcentral.